RNAcentral lists this ribosomal RNA (481 nucleotides) under uncultured bacterium. RNAcentral describes it as "partial 16S ribosomal RNA". It matches the Rfam family "Bacterial small subunit ribosomal RNA", at positions 28 to 507 of the family's 1533-position model. The record is from RNAcentral.
GAUGAACGCUGGCGGCGUGCUUAACACAUGCAAGUCGAACGAAGCAUUUAGGACAGAUUACUUCGGUUUGAAGUUCUUUAUGACUGAGUGGCGGACGGGUGAGUAACGCGUGGGUAACCUGCCUUGUACUGGGGGAUAGCAGCUGGAAACGGCUGGUAAUACCGCAUAAGCGCACAAUGUUGCAUGACAUGGUGUGAAAAACUCCGGUGGUAUAAGAUGGACCCGCGUCUGAUUAGCUAGUUGGUGAGAUAACAGCCCACCAAGGCGACGAUCAGUAGCCGACCUGAGAGGGUGACCGGCCACAUUGGGACUGAGACACGGCCCAGACUCCUACGGGAGGCAGCAGUGGGGAAUAUUGCACAAUGGAGGAAACUCUGAUGCAGCGACGCCGCGUGAGUGGAGAAGUAAUUCGUUAUGUAAAGCUCUAUCAGCAGGGAAGAUAGUGACGGUACCUGACUAAGAAGCUCCGGCUAAAUACGUG